GAUGGGCUCGCGUUGGAUUAGAUAGUUGGUGGGGUAACGGCCUACCAAGUCGACGAUCCAUAGCCGGACUGAGAGGUUGAACGGCCACAUUGGGACUGAGACACGGCCCAGACUCCUACGGGAGGCAGCAGUGGGGAAUAUUGCACAAUGGGGGAAACCCUGAUGCAGCAACGCCGCGUGAAGGAAGACGGUUUUCGGAUUGUAAACUUCUGUUCUUAGUGAAGAAUAAUGACGGUAGCUAAGGAGCAAGCCACGGCUAACUACGUGCCAGCAGCCGCGGUAAUACGUAGGUGGCAAGCGUUGUCCGGAAUUACUGGGUGUAAAGGGAGCGCAGGCGGGAAGCCAAGUCAGCUGUGAAAACUAUGGGCUUAACUUGUAGACUGCAGUUGAAACUGGUUUUCUUGAGUGAAGUAGAGGUUGGCGGAAUUCCGAGUGUAGCGGUGAAAUGCGUAGAUAUUCGGAGGAACACCGGUGGCGAAGGCGGCCAACUGGGCUUUAACUGACGCUGAGGCUCGAAAGUGUGGGGAGCAAACAGGAUUAGAUACCCUGGUAGUCCACACUGUAAACGAUGAU
This 573-nucleotide ribosomal RNA is filed under the name uncultured bacterium. Its description in RNAcentral is "bacterial SSU rRNA". It matches the Rfam family "Bacterial small subunit ribosomal RNA", at positions 224 to 813 of the family's 1533-position model. The record is from RNAcentral.